This 220-nucleotide ribosomal RNA is filed under the name uncultured Microlunatus sp. Its description in RNAcentral is "partial 16S ribosomal RNA". It matches the Rfam family "Bacterial small subunit ribosomal RNA", at positions 393 to 623 of the family's 1533-position model. The record is from RNAcentral. Lineage: Bacteria; Bacillati; Actinomycetota; Actinomycetes; Propionibacteriales; Propionibacteriaceae.
AACGCCGCGUGUGGGAUGACGGCCUUCGGGUUGUAAACCACUUUCAGCGCCGACGAAGCGAAAGUGACGGUAGGCGCAGAAGAAGCACCGGCCAACUACGUGCCAGCAGCCGCGGUAAUAAUCGUAGGGUGCGAGCGUUGUCCGGAAUUAUUGGGCGUAAAGGGCUCGUAGGCGGUCCAUCGCGUCGGAAGUGAAAACUCGGGGCUUAACCCCGAGCCUG